UACGGAGGGGGCAAGCGUUGUUCGGAAUUACUGGGCGUAAAGGGCGCGUAGGCGGUCUGUUGCGUCGGGUGUGAAAGCCCCGGGCUCAACCUGGGAAUGGCACUUGAUACGGGCAGGCUGGAAUCCGGGAGAGGAUGGUGGAAUUCCCAGUGUAGAGGUGAAAUUCGUAGAUAUUGGGAAGAACACCGAUGGCGAAGGCAGCCAUCUGGCCCGCGAUUGACGCUGAGGCGCGAAAGCGUGGGGAG
RNAcentral lists this ribosomal RNA (245 nucleotides) under uncultured bacterium. Its description in RNAcentral is "partial 16S ribosomal RNA". It matches the Rfam family "Bacterial small subunit ribosomal RNA", at positions 524 to 768 of the family's 1533-position model. The record is from RNAcentral.